Non-coding RNA from Purpureocillium lavendulum, 73 nucleotides. NCBI's taxonomy places the organism in Eukaryota, Fungi, Ascomycota, Sordariomycetes, Hypocreales, Ophiocordycipitaceae. The record is from the annotation of a GenBank genome assembly.
GUAGAUGUAGCUCAAUUGGUGGAGUAACUAUUUGUGGCAUAGUUGGUUCCUGGUUCGAGUCCAGGUAUUUACC